Molecule: ribosomal RNA, 1343 nt
Filed under: uncultured bacterium
Lineage: Bacteria
Description: 16S ribosomal RNA
Rfam family: Bacterial small subunit ribosomal RNA
Source: RNAcentral
GACGAACGCUGGCGGCGUGCUUAACACAUGCAAGUCGAACGGAAAGGCCCUGCUUUUGUGGGGUGCUCGAGUGGCGAACGGGUGAGUAACACGUGAGUAACCUGCCCUUGACUUUGGGAUAACUUCAGGAAACUGGGGCUAAUACCGGAUAGGAGCUCCUGCUGCAUGGUGGGGGUUGGAAAGUUUCGGCGGUUGGGGAUGGACUCGCGGCUUAUCAGCUUGUUGGUGGGGUAGUGGCUUACCAAGGCUUUGACGGGUAGCCGGCCUGAGAGGGUGACCGGCCACAUUGGGACUGAGAUACGGCCCAGACUCCUACGGGAGGCAGCAGUGGGGAAUAUUGCACAAUGGGCGGAAGCCUGAUGCAGCUACGCCGCGUGCGGGAUGACGGCCUUCGGGUUGUAAACCGCUUUCGCCUGUGACGAAGCGUGAGUGACGGUAAUGGGUAAAGAAGCACCGGCUAACUACGUGCCAGCAGCCGCGGUGAUACGUAGGGUGCGAGCGUUGUCCGGAUUUAUUGGGCGUAAAGGGCUCGUAGGUGGUUGAUCGCGUCGGAAGUGUAAUCUUGGGGCUUAACCCUGAGCGUGCUUUCGAUACGGGUUGACUUGAGGAAGGUAGGGGAGAAUGGAAUUCCUGGUGGAGCGGUGGAAUGCGCAGAUAUCAGGAGGAACACCAGUGGCGAAGGCGGUUCUCUGGGCCUUUCCUGACGCUGAGGAGCGAAAGCGUGGGGAGCGAACAGGCUUAGAUGCCCUGGUAGUCCACGCUGUAAACGGUGGGUACUAGGUGUGGGGUCCAUUCCACGGGUUCCGUGCCGUAGCUAACGCUUUAAGUACCCCGCCUGGGGAGUACGGCCGCAAGGCUAAAACUCAAAGGAAUUGACGGGGCCCCGCACAAGCGGCGGAGCAUGCGGAUUAAUUCGAUGCAACGCGUAGAACCUUACCUGGGUUUGACAUGGAUCGGGAGUGCUCAGAGAUGGGUGUGCCUCUUUUGGGGUCGGUUCACAGGUGGUGCAUGGCUGUCGUCAGCUCGUGUCGUGAGAUGUUGGGUUAAGUCCCGCAACGAGCGCAACCCUUGUUCACUGUUGCCAGCACGUUAUGGUGGGGACUCAGUGGAGACCGCCGGGGUCAACUCGGAGGAAGGUGGGGAUGACGUCAAGUCAUCAUGCCCCUUAUGUCCAGGGCUUCACGCAUGCUACAAUGGCUGGUACAGAGAGUGGCGAGCCUGUGAGGGUGAGCGAAUCUCGGAAAGCCGGUCUCAGUUCGGAUUGGGGUCUGCAACUCGACCUCAUGAAGUCGGAGUCGCUAGUAAUCGCAGAUCAGCAACGCUGCGGUGAAUACGUUCCCGGG